Molecule: ribosomal RNA, 503 nt
Filed under: uncultured bacterium
Lineage: Bacteria
Description: partial 16S ribosomal RNA
Rfam family: Bacterial small subunit ribosomal RNA
Source: RNAcentral
GAUGAACGCUAGCGAUAGGCCUAACACAUGCAAGUCGAGGGGCAGCAUAGAGUAGCAAUACUUUGAUGGCGACCGGCGCACGGGUGAGUAACACGUAUGCAACCUACCUACAUCAGGGGAAUAACCCGGAGAAAUUCGGACUAAUACCGCAUAAUACAGGGAUGCCGCAUGGCAAUAUUUGUUAAAGAUCGAUCGGAUGUAGAUGGGCAUGCGUUCCAUUAGCUAGUUGGUGAGGUAACGGCUCACCAAGGCAACGAUGGAUAGGGGAACUGAGAGGUUUGUCCCCCACACCGGAACUGAGACACGGACCAGACUCCUACGGGAGGCAGCAGUGAGGAAUAUUGGUCAAUGGACGAGAGUCUGAACCAGCCAAAUCGCGUGAAGGAAGACUGCCCUACGGGUUGUAAACUUCUUUUGUACAGGAAUAAAAGACAUUACGUGUAAUGUAUUGCAUGUACUGUACGAAUAAGCAUCGGCUAACUCCGUGCCAGCCGCCGCAGUAA